Molecule: microRNA precursor, 204 nt
Filed under: Oryza sativa Japonica Group (Japanese rice)
Lineage: Eukaryota; Viridiplantae; Streptophyta; Magnoliopsida; Poales; Poaceae
Description: MIR812 microRNA precursor family
Rfam family: MIR812 microRNA precursor family
Source: Rfam by way of RNAcentral
AAUAGAUGACGCCGUUAACUUUUUCUCACAUGUUUGACCAUUCGUCUUAUUCAAAAAUUUUAUGCAAAUGUAUAAGAUAUAAAUCACACUUAAAGUAUUAUGAGUGAUAUAACAACUCAUAACAAAAUAAAUUAUAAUUACGUAAAUUUUUUGAAUAAGACGAAUGGUCAAACAUGUGAGAAAAAGUCAACGGCGUCAUCUAUU